Molecule: unclassified non-coding RNA, 277 nt
Filed under: uncultured fungus
Lineage: Eukaryota; Fungi
Description: partial contains 5.8S ribosomal RNA, internal transcribed spacer 2, and large subunit ribosomal RNA
Rfam family: 5.8S ribosomal RNA (bases 1-52)
Source: RNAcentral
AACGCAUCUUGCACUCCUUGGUAUUCCGAGGAGUAUGUCUGUUUGAGUGUCAUGAACUCUACAACUAUUUAUUCUUUAUUGAGUGAGUAGAUUGGUUUCUGAGGCUUGCUAUUUUAAUAGCUGCUUCGUAAUAUAUUAGCAACCCUAGUUGAUCUUGGAUUGACUCAGUGUAAUAGACUAUUCACUGAGGACAAGAUUAGAGUGGAAGCUUAUAAUCAUGCUACAGUCAACUUUUGAAUUAGACCUCAAAUCAGAUAGGAUUACCCGCUGAACUUAA